GUGGUUGGAGUGGUAGUAGGUGAGGACUAGUUGAGGGAAGUUAGUCACAGGGGACAUUUCCUGUAAGGAUGUAUCUUGUCCCUAGCCUCUUUGUUCCUCUUUUUUUCUUUCAGGCUAUCAUGUGGUAAACAGCUUUGCUCUGCCACCAUGAUGUUUCUAUUUUGGUGUUAGUGGACUUUGGACUGAAAUUUAUGAAAAUGUUUUCUGGUGGCCAUGUUCUGAGCCUUCUUCCUUCAGCACACUCUUCCACUGUGAUAUUCUGUUUCACCUUGAGUCCCCAGCAAUUGAGCCAGCUUCUAUAGAUUGACGUCUCUGAAACUAUGAGCCCCCAAUAAACUUUUCCUCCUCUAAUUGUUCUUAUCAGGAGUUUUGAUCACAAUAGCAAAGAAGCUGACUAAAACAAAAAGUUUGUUAAUAAAGUUGUUCUUUUUUGGGUGUACUUAGAAAUCAUAUUGUCAAUAAAUCUUUGUCUAUAAA
Non-coding RNA from Ictidomys tridecemlineatus (thirteen-lined ground squirrel), 477 nucleotides. Lineage: Eukaryota; Metazoa; Chordata; Mammalia; Rodentia; Sciuridae. The record is from RefSeq and is a predicted model, not a curated record.